ACGAACGCUGGCGGCAUGCCUAACACAUGCAAGUCGAACGAGACCUUCGGGUCUAGUGGCGCACGGGUGCGUAACGCGUGGGAACCUGCCCUUAGGUUCGGAAUAACUCCCCGAAAGGGGUGCUAAUACCGGAUAAUGUCUUCGGACCAAAGAUUUAUCGCCUUUGGAUGGGCCCGCGUUGGAUUAGCUAGUUGGUACGGUAAAAGCCUACCAAGGCGACGAUCCAUAGCUGGUCUGAGAGGAUGAUCAGCCACACUGGGACUGAGACGCGGCCCAGACUCCUACGGGAGGCAGCAGUGGGGAAUAUUGGACAAUGGGCGAAAGCCUGAUCCAGCACUGCCGCGUGAGUGAUGAAGGCCUUAGGGUUGUAAAGCUCUUUUACCCGGGAUGCGCAUGACAGUACCGGGAGAAUAAGCUCCGGCUAACUCCGUG
This 432-nucleotide ribosomal RNA is filed under the name uncultured bacterium. RNAcentral's name for it is "partial 16S ribosomal RNA". It matches the Rfam family "Bacterial small subunit ribosomal RNA", at positions 29 to 507 of the family's 1533-position model. The record is from RNAcentral.